CCUACGGGAGGCAGCAGUGAGGAAUAUUGGUCAAUGGACGAGAGUCUGAACCAGCCAAGUAGCGUGAAGGAUGACUGCCCUAUGGGUUGUAAACUUCUUUUAUAUGGGAAUAAAAUGUUCCACGUGUGGGAUUUUGUAUGUACCAUAUGAAUAAGGAUCGGCUAACUCCGUGCCAGCAGCCGCGGUAAUACGGAGGAUCCGAGCGUUAUCCGGAUUUAUUGGGUUUAAAGGGAGCGUAGGUGGAUUGUUAAGUCAGUUGUGAAAUUUUGCGGCUCAACCGUAAAAUUGCAGUUGAAACUGGCAGUCUUGAGUACAGUAGAGGUGGGCGGAAUUCGUGGUGUAGCGGUGAAAUGCUUAGAUAUCACGAAGAACUCCGAUUGCGAAGGCAGCUCACUGGACUGCAACUGAUACUGAGGCUCGAAAGUGUGGGUAUCAAACAGGAUUAGAUACCCUUGUAGUC
RNAcentral lists this ribosomal RNA (460 nucleotides) under uncultured bacterium. RNAcentral's name for it is "partial 16S ribosomal RNA". It matches the Rfam family "Bacterial small subunit ribosomal RNA", at positions 338 to 795 of the family's 1533-position model. The record is from RNAcentral.